Molecule: ribosomal RNA, 209 nt
Filed under: uncultured bacterium
Lineage: Bacteria
Description: partial 16S ribosomal RNA
Rfam family: Bacterial small subunit ribosomal RNA
Source: RNAcentral
UUCGGAUUGUAGUCUGNAACCCGACUACAUGAAGCUGGAAUCGCUAGUAAUCGCGAAUCAGAAUGUCGCGGUGAAUACGUUCCCGGGUCUUGUACACACCGCCCGUCACACCAUGGGAGUCGGAAAUGCCCGAAGUCAGUGACCCAACCGUAAGGAGGGAGCUGCCGAAGGUGGAGCCGGUAACUGGGGUGAAGUCGUAACAAGGUAAC